GUGUCAGCAGCCGCGGUAAUACGUAGGGUGCAAGCGUUAAUCGGAAUUACUGGGCGUAAAGCGUGCGCAGGCGGUUAUGUAAGACAGAUGUGAAAUGCCCGGGCUUAACCUGGGAACUGCAUUUGUGACUGCAUGGCUAGAAUCUGGCAGAGGGGGGUAGAAUUCCACGUGUAGCAGUGAAAUGCGUAGAUAUGUGGAGGAAUACCGAUGGCGAAGGCAGCCCCCUGGGCUAAGAUUGACGCUCAUGCACGAAAGCGUGGGGAGCAAACAGGAUUAGAAACCCGAGUAGUCC
RNAcentral lists this ribosomal RNA (292 nucleotides) under uncultured bacterium. RNAcentral's name for it is "partial 16S ribosomal RNA". It matches the Rfam family "Bacterial small subunit ribosomal RNA", at positions 505 to 796 of the family's 1533-position model. The record is from RNAcentral.